GUGAUUUGUGUCCUUAGGAAAACAGUGAAGUUAUCAGUGAAAGAGAAGAACAGACAGAAUGUUUCACAUCAAUGCAGGAAAACAAUGAAGAUAGCAGCCAAAGAGAAGAGCAAACAGAAGAACCCUACACAUUGGCAGAGGACAGAAAUAUCCAUUCCCAUGGAUUAACCGAAGAGCAAAGCUGCAUCUCAAUACUAUCCUUAGCACUGAAACACAACACUACAGGUGUAUUGAUGGAAGAUCUACUGAAACUUCUAAGAUUACAUUCUGCUGGGACAAGUGCAGUUCCUGCA
Alosa alosa (allis shad) is the source of this 293-nucleotide long non-coding RNA. RefSeq lists it as uncharacterized. The record is from RefSeq and is a predicted model, not a curated record. The transcript is spliced from 3 exons. NCBI's taxonomy places the organism in Eukaryota, Metazoa, Chordata, Actinopteri, Clupeiformes, Clupeidae.